AACUAGAACCCACGACCUCCCGACUCUCAGACCCGUGCUCUGACCACCGGGCCACGCCGCCUCUCAAAUCUGGAGAUGCGCACCAUCGACUAAAGUUGGAAUGUGGACUUUUGAAUGCUUCCUUGAAGAUAACACCUGAAUGGCUAGAAUACAACCAACUGAGGUGGGAAUACCCAAGAAAAGAUGUCGACCGAUCUCGCUCAGCCUCAGACAAUACUAGAGCUGGAAUCCUGAGUCUUCAGCUUUCACUUCUGGUUGUCCCACCGACCCGCCGCCUUCCCCUUAACGGACGGCGACUCCUGUCAUCGUUAACUAG
Ornithorhynchus anatinus (platypus) is the source of this 316-nucleotide long non-coding RNA. RefSeq lists it as uncharacterized. Lineage: Eukaryota; Metazoa; Chordata; Mammalia; Monotremata; Ornithorhynchidae. The record is from RefSeq and is a predicted model, not a curated record. The transcript has 3 exons.